GCCCCCGUAGCUCAAUUGGAUAGAGCAGGGCACUUCUAAUGCCGAGGUUGUGAGUUCGAGUCUCGCCGGGGGCG
RNAcentral lists this transfer RNA (74 nucleotides) under Anaerolineae bacterium. RNAcentral's name for it is "tRNA-Arg". It matches the Rfam family "tRNA". From Rfam's summary of the family: Transfer RNA (tRNA) molecules are approximately 80 nucleotides in length. Their secondary structure includes four short double-helical elements and three loops (D, anti-codon, and T loops). Further hydrogen bonds mediate the characteristic L-shaped molecular structure. tRNAs have two regions of fundamental functional importance: the anti-codon, which is responsible for specific mRNA codon recognition, and the 3' end, to which the tRNAs corresponding amino acid is attached (by aminoacyl-tRNA synthetases). tRNAs cope with the degeneracy of the genetic code in two manners: having more than one tRNA (with a specific anti-codon) for a particular amino acid; and 'wobble' base-pairing, i.e. permitting non-standard base-pairing at the 3rd anti-codon position. Lineage: Bacteria; Bacillati; Chloroflexota; Anaerolineae. RNAcentral also lists the same sequence under 1 other name. The record is from RNAcentral.